Molecule: long non-coding RNA, 3005 nt
Organism: Parus major (Great Tit)
Lineage: Eukaryota; Metazoa; Chordata; Aves; Passeriformes; Paridae
Exons: 3
Source: RefSeq, a predicted model, not a curated record
UUAUUAGGUCUGCACACAUUCUCAAAAUAUUAUCUACCUGCUUUUAUACACUUCAAACAGUGAAAAAUCAGUAUUUCUCAUAUGGGAAACAAUCUAAAGACAGAGCAACAGGUUACACAUUCCUUCAGCUCCAUUUUACAAUGCAUGGUCUGUGGAGAAGGGGCUUAUCUGAGUAAGGGGUGAUUGUAGCAGGGUGAAGUAAGCACAUUUAUUUCACUGUGUCAAAGACUAAAGAUCAGCACAAAGUUCACGUAGAAUUCUUUGGCUUUGGCAGCAGCUCAUUAUGGUAUUAUCUUCUUGCUAGGUUAAAUUUAUAGUGUCAUCUUGCUUUUGCUCCUUGGGUCUUGGCUCCUGGUUUUUACUAGGUAUCCAGAGCUGAAUGUCAGCAGGUGUCAAGUGGGUGACCACCUGUGGUGGGUCUAGUGCUGGCCAAAUUCCAGUGCACUCACUAGAAUUAUUUACUCAUUUUUUGCUGCGAGAUAAGGACUAGGAGGAGAGCAAAGCAGGCUCAACAUUUUAAAGGGUAUAAAGAAAACUUUAUUAACAGAACUAAAAGAAAAAUAAUAAGAAGUCAGAAUAAACCUUCAGAACAUUUCUCCUCCCCCCAACUCUUCUUUCUUUUCCCACGGACAAUGUAAAGAGGCAAAAUUUGGUAUUUUCAAUUAGUUUACCAUUUCUAAAAUAAUCUUUAUUAAGUUCACUUAGGGAGAGGAGUCUCUCCUGACAUGCCAUGGAGACUUUCUCACAAGAAACAGUUCUGUCAUUGUUUUAAUUUUCAUGAAUAGCAGCAAUGGAAAUCUGCAACUGUCCCUGCAAAAGUCCUUCCCACAGUUUGGUAGUCUUCCCACAACUACCACCAUGUGUCAUCUUAGCUUAUUGGGGUACAAUUUUAAGGAUGAGCUGUUCUGUAUAGAAACAAAAGUUAUUUUAUUUCUGGGAACAGAGGUUUUCUUCUUCCAUCCGUGGGGCAACGUUUCUUAUCUCUCUCUUCUCUCUCUGUUCAAGCUUCUCAGUGGAUCACAGCUACUUCAACAUUUGCUUGCUUCAACACAGGUACCUCUGCUCAUGGCUGUAGUUAGAACACUAGAGUCCCCCGAUGCACUCCAUGAGUUUCAGGGGAAAAAAGAGUUUGAUGUAUCAAUUACAUCUUCACCAUAGCCUUACAAAAGAAUUUCAGCCCAAGACUAAGGCAUCUCCUCACUCUCCUUCCAUCUAGGAUUUGAGUCCUUCACUAACCUCGGUGUCUUUGUCUUGUUUUCUCUAUGUGUCUUUAUGCUUUCCUUUUCUUUCACUCACGUUUCAUUUGUGCACCAGAGUUGGUAUCUCGGCCGGGCCUGCGGAUGGCCGUGCGAUCUGUGCCGAGUGGUGGCCGCUCUGGCUGCACGGCUGUUUUCCAGCCCCUGCCAUGGUCAGUUCCAGCUGCGGGGCUGCUUUCUGCAUGGGCUGCAGGCCUGCCUCUGUUCUUAGCUGCAUGGUUUUCUGCGGUGCCAGCAGGAAGGCCCAGCAGCUCGUGGCCCGAGCAGGGGCCAGCCUGGCUCCACCCAGAGCCAAGCAGAGCCAGCCUGGCCCACCAGCCCCGGGUGGAACUCGGAGGCAGCAGAAUGCCAGGGGGCGAGCCCGAGCGGGCCGCACUGCAGCACGGCAGGGUCCGGCCCGGCCCCGCCAGGCCCUGCAGGCCCUGCGGCACAGCGGGGCCUGGCCCGGCUACAGCAUGCAGGUACUGCUCAAAGUGUUAGUUGUGUCCUGAGUGUCACCUGCUUCCCUUCAGCAUCAAUGAAGAAAUUUUCCUUUGUUUGCUAUGGAGAUCCCAUUGUGGCCCAGAAGGGAAUGAUAAAGUUACAUAGAGGUGGAGAGGAUAAUGUCUAGUGAGGAGAAACCAGGAGCAGCCACAGGCAGACUUGGAAACACUGAAUAAGGAUCAGCAGUGACAGAAAAGAGCUGUGGUGCAAGACAGAAGCAGAGUCUACCCAAGGAUUCACAGCAAGUAGGAAAAAAUUGAAUUUCCUGUUUCCAGUAUGAGGACAGAACACAGCUAUCAUGGAGAACAAAAAGGUAAAUGGAAAGGGCAGGAGAAGCAACAAAGAGCUUUGUCCCAUUUCAGAGGAGAUCCUUUAAAGUACACCAGACAUAACAGUAAUGGCUGGGACUGUACAAUAAUGUGCUCAGCCAUGCAGAGAGGCUGCCUUUCCUCAAACACACCACAGCUGCGACACCAUGUGCUUGCUCCAGCUCAGACACAAGAAGUAUUGAACAUCAGCAGAAAAUAGGUCUCUACAAACAGUUUAUUGCAUCCAGCAGCAUGCAAUCCAGUCUGCUUUAUCCCAGCUAGAGACAUUUGAGAUCCCUGGAGAGUUUUUGGCAUCAGAUCCACGUCUUGCUUACUUGUUAGCAGUGGGAGCUUGCACCAUCCCCACAAGCCAGCAUCAGCAAAAGUUACUGAAGAAAUCCUUUUCCUUUACAGAUGCACAACUCAUGCCUUUAGGGGCUGGAUUCAUGCACGCAGUGCACUGAAACCAGAAACAUACAAGUUGAAUGCUUUUAAGAUGAACAUUCUGUUGAGAAAAAGGCAGGAAAGAGAAAAUCCCUAAAGUCUUUGCAGUGAAUUUAAUAACUCUGACAUUUACACUCAUCCUACCUGAUAGCAUGUAAAUCAGAAGAAAAUAUUGCUUAUAUUAUAAAAUAAGGUAUCUGGAAAUUAGGAAAGGCCAGCACUGAAGUGUAAUAACAGAAUUAUGAGUUAUAUGAUGGCACAUUUACUUCUGAACAAUGUCCAAGGCAAUCAUCAUUCAGGCCCCUUAUGCCAAUAGGAAGCUGUUCCUUAGAUCGGUCGUCCCUCACUUUUUCUGUAAGGCAAGGACUGGUCAAUAUUUAGAAAUAUUUCUGCAGACCAACAAACUCACAGCAGGUUUAAUUUACAAAAGCAAUGAAUGGUUAUUGGGUAUUUUAUUUAUGGCCUUGUUUUUUUGGACAGAUGUAUUUUUUUAAUAAAAUAUCUUCAUGGAUUA